RNAcentral lists this ribosomal RNA (497 nucleotides) under uncultured bacterium. RNAcentral's name for it is "partial 16S ribosomal RNA". It matches the Rfam family "Bacterial small subunit ribosomal RNA", at positions 28 to 507 of the family's 1533-position model. The record is from RNAcentral.
GAUGAACGCUGGCGGCGUGCCUAAUACAUGCCAGUCGAGCGAACAGAUGAGGAGCUUGCUCCUCUGACGUUAGCGGCGGACGGGUGAGUAACACGUGGAUAACCUACCUAUAAGACUGGGAUAACUUCGGGAAACCGGAGCUAAUACCGGAUAAUAUAUUGAACCGCAUGGUUCAAUAGUGAAAGACGGUUUUGCUGUCACUUAUAGAUGGAUCCGCGCCGCAUUAGCUAGUUGGUAAGGUAACGGCUUACCAAGGCAACGAUGCGUAGCCGACCUGAGAGGGUGAUUGGCCACACUGGAACUGAGACACGGUCCAGACUCCUACGGGAGGCAGCAGUAGGGAAUCUUCCGCAAUGGGCGAAAGCCUGACGGAGCAACGCCGCGUGAGUGAUGAAGGUCUUCGGAUCGUAAAACUCUGUUAUUAGGGAAGAACAAAUGUGUAAGUAACUAUGCACGUCUUGACGGUACCUAAUCAGAAAGCCACGGCUAACUACGUG